RNAcentral lists this ribosomal RNA (591 nucleotides) under uncultured archaeon. RNAcentral's name for it is "partial 16S ribosomal RNA". It matches the Rfam family "Archaeal small subunit ribosomal RNA", at positions 1 to 601 of the family's 1478-position model. The record is from RNAcentral.
UUCGGGGNGANNNCGGNGGAGGNNANGGCCUUUGAGGUUUGANUAAGNNAUGGGAGUNGAGAGGUUNAAGAANUCGGNGUANUGGUNAGUAANANGUGGAUAAUCUGCCCUGAAGUGGAGAAUAAUCCCGGGAAACUGGGGGUAAUACUCCAUAGUUCGUUAUUACUGGAAUGUUUUUCGAACGAAAGAUCCGUCGCUUCAGGAUGAGUCUGCGGCCGAUUAGGUAGUUGUUGGGGUAAUUGCCCAACAAGCCUGUAAUCGGUACGGGUUGUGGGAGCAAGAGCCCGGAGAUGGAUUCUGAGACACGAAUCCAGGCCCUACGGGGCGCAGCAGGCGCGAAAACUUUACCAUGCGGGCAACCGUGAUAAGGAAACCCCGAGUGCCAGCACAGGCUGGCUGCCCGCCAGUUUAAACAACUGGCGAAGAAAGGGCCGGGCAAGACCGGUGCCAGCCGCCGCGGUAAUACCGGCGGCUCGAGUGGUGGCCGCUAUUACUGGGCUUAAAGGGUCCGUAGCUUGAUAAUAGGGUCCCUUGAGAAAUCCGCCGGCUUAGCUGGCGGGCGUUCAGGGGAAACUUGUUUUCUAGGGACCG